This 636-nucleotide ribosomal RNA is filed under the name Leptographium procerum. RNAcentral describes it as "eukaryotic LSU rRNA". It matches the Rfam family "Eukaryotic large subunit ribosomal RNA", at positions 1 to 656 of the family's 3401-position model. The record is from RNAcentral. Lineage: Eukaryota; Fungi; Ascomycota; Sordariomycetes; Ophiostomatales; Ophiostomataceae.
UUGACCUCGGAUCAGGUAGGACUACCCGCUGAACUUAAGCAUAUCAAUAAGCGGAGGAAAAGAAACCAACAGGGAUUGCCCCAGUAACGGCGAGUGAAGCGGCAACAGCUCAGAUUUGGAAUCUGGCCCCCAGGGCCCGAGUUGUAAUCUGGAGAGGAUGCUUCUGGCGCGGCGCCUUCCGAGUUCCCUGGAACGGGACGCCGGAGAGGGUGAGAGCCCCGUACGGUUGGACGCCUAGCCUUUGUGAAGCUCCUUCGACGAGUCGAGUAGUUUGGGAAUGCUGCUCAAAAUGGGAGGUAAAUUUCUUCUAAAGCUAAAUACCGGCCAGAGACCGAUAGCGCACAAGUAGAGUGAUCGAAAGAUGAAAAGCACUUUGAAAAGAGGGUCAAACAGUACGUGAAAUUGUUGAAAGGGAAGCGCCCGUGGCCAGACUUGUGCCCCGCGGACCACCCGGCGCCCUCAGCGCCGGUGCACUCCGCGGGGCGCAGGCCAGCAUCGGUUUUCCUAGGGGGAUAAAGGCGGCGGGAACGUGGCUCCUUCGGGAGUGUUAUAGCCCGUCGUGCCAUGCCCCUGGGGGGACCGAGGACCGCGCUUCGGCAAGGAUGCUGGCGUAAUGGCCACCGGCGACCCGUCUUG